Molecule: ribosomal RNA, 253 nt
Filed under: uncultured bacterium
Lineage: Bacteria
Description: partial 16S ribosomal RNA
Rfam family: Bacterial small subunit ribosomal RNA
Source: RNAcentral
UACGUAGGGGGCCAGCGUUGUUCGGAUUCAUUGGGCGUAAAGGGUGCGUAGGUGGCGCUGUAAGUCAGGUGUGAAAUCUCGGGGCUUAACUCCGAAACUGCAUUCGAUACUGCCGUGCUUGAGGACUGGAGAGGAGACUGGAAUUUACGGUGUAGCGGUGAAAUGCGUAGAUAUCGUAAGGAACACCGGUGGCGAAGGCGGAUCUCUGGGCCUUACCUGACGCUGAGGCGCGAAAGCUAGGGGAGCAAACAGG